This 46-nucleotide small RNA is filed under the name Arabidopsis thaliana (thale cress). Its description in RNAcentral is "ATSL152760". The record is from RNAcentral. Lineage: Eukaryota; Viridiplantae; Streptophyta; Magnoliopsida; Brassicales; Brassicaceae.
AAUGUUACAUUUAAAAUGUACUUCCCAAAUAAUAUAGUAGGAUAAA